AACGAACGCUGGCGGCAUGCCUAACACAUGCAAGUCGAACGAGACCUUCGGGUCUAGUGGCGCACGGGUGCGUAACGCGUGGGAACCUGCACUUAGGUUCGGAAUAACUCUCCGAAAGGGGUGCUAAUACCGGAUAAUGUCUUCGGACCAAAGAUUUAUCGCCUUUGGAUGGGCCCGCGUUGGAUUAGCUAGUUGGUAGGGUAAAAGCCUACCAAGGCGACGAUCCAUAGCUGGUUUGAGAGGAUGAUCAGCCACACUGGGACUGAGACACGGCCCAGAAUCCUACGGGAGGCAGCAGUGGGGAAUAUUGGACAAUGGGCGAAAGCCUGAUCCAGCAAGGCCGCGUGAGUGAUGAAGGCCUUAGGGUUGUAAAGCUCUUUUACCCGGGAUGAUAAUGACAGUACCGGGAGAAUAAGCUCCGGCUAACUCCGUG
RNAcentral lists this ribosomal RNA (433 nucleotides) under uncultured bacterium. RNAcentral's name for it is "partial 16S ribosomal RNA". It matches the Rfam family "Bacterial small subunit ribosomal RNA", at positions 29 to 507 of the family's 1533-position model. The record is from RNAcentral.